UAGGAUUGUGCCUGCGGCGCU
This 21-nucleotide unclassified non-coding RNA is filed under the name Chlamydomonas reinhardtii. Its description in RNAcentral is "small RNA Cre_2317". The record is from RNAcentral. Lineage: Eukaryota; Viridiplantae; Chlorophyta; Chlorophyceae; Chlamydomonadales; Chlamydomonadaceae.